GUGGGUAUACGGACUACACUCCCAACCCCUGUGACAUACCUUAAUGUUGCCUCGGCGGAUCAGCCCGCGCCCCGUAAAACGGGACGGCCCGCCAGAGGACCCAAACUCUAAUGUUUCUUAUUGUAACUUCUGAGUAAAACAAACAAAUAAAUCAAAACUUUCAACAACGGAUCUCUUGGUUCUGGCAUCGAUGAAGAACGCAGCAAAAUGCGAUAAGUAAUGUGAAUUGCAGAAUUCAGUGAAUCAUCGAAUCUUUGAACGCACAUUGCGCCCGCUGGUAUUCCGGCGGGCAUGCCUGUUCGAGCGUCAUUUCAACCCUCAAGCCCCCGGGUUUGGUGUUGGGGAUCGGCUCUGCCCUUCUGGGCGGUGCCGCCCCCGAAAUACAUUGGCGGUCUCGCUGCAGCCUCCAUUGCGUAGUAGCUAACACCUCGCAACUGGAACGCGGCGCGGCCAUGCCGUAAAACCCCAACUUCUGAAUGUUGACCUCGGAUCAGGUAGGAAUACCCGCUGAACUUAAGCAUAUCAAAA
RNAcentral lists this ribosomal RNA (528 nucleotides) under Fusarium tricinctum. Its description in RNAcentral is "eukaryotic LSU rRNA". The stretch from base 156 to 309 matches the Rfam family "5.8S ribosomal RNA". The record is from RNAcentral. RNAcentral also lists the same sequence under 1 other name. Lineage: Eukaryota; Fungi; Ascomycota; Sordariomycetes; Hypocreales; Nectriaceae.